RNAcentral lists this ribosomal RNA (254 nucleotides) under uncultured bacterium. RNAcentral's name for it is "partial 16S ribosomal RNA". It matches the Rfam family "Bacterial small subunit ribosomal RNA", at positions 524 to 776 of the family's 1533-position model. The record is from RNAcentral.
UACGGGGGGGGGUAAGCGUUGUUCGGAAUUACUGGGCGUAAAGGGCUCGUAGGCGGCCAACUAAGUCAUACGUGAAAUCCCUCAGCUUAACUGGGGAACUGCGUGUGAUACUGGAUGGCUUGGAUUUGGGAGAGGGAUGCGGAAUUCCUGGUGUAGCGGUGAAAUGCGUAGAUAUCAGGAGGAAUACCGGUGGCGAAGGCGGCAUCCUGGACCGGCAUUGACGCUGAGGAGCGAAAGCCAGGGGAGCAAACGGG